AUACAUGCAGUCGAACGGUUGUAGCAGUACAGCAGUGGCAGACGGGUGAGUAACACGUGGGAACCUACCUAGGGGUACGGAAUAACUCAGGGAAACUUGUGCUAAUACCGUAUACGACCUUCGGGUGAAAGAUUUAUCGCCCCUAGAUGGGCCCGCGUUGGAUUAGCUAGUUGGUGGGGUAAAAGCCUACCAAGGCGACGAUCCAUAGCUGGUCUGAGAGGAUGAUCAGCCACACUGGGACUGAGACACGGCCCAGACUCCUACGGGAGGCAGCAGUAGGGAAUCUUGGACAAUGGGCGAAAGCCUGAUCCAGCCAUGCCGCGUGAGUGAUGAAGGCCUUAGGGUUGUAAAGCUCUUUCGCCAGGGAAGAUAAUGACGGUACCUGGAUAAGAAGCCCCGGCAAACUUCGUGCCAGCAGCCGCGGUAAUACGAAGGGGGCUAGCGUUGUUCGGAAUUACUGGGCGUAAAGCGCACGUAGGCGGUUUUCCAAGUUGGAGGUGAAAUCCCUGGGCUCAACCCGGGAACUGCCUCCAAAACUGGAUGACUCGAGUCCGAGAGAGGUGAGUGGAAUUUCCAGUGUAGAGGUGAAAUUCGUAGAUAUUGGAAAGAACACCAGUGGCGAAGGCGGCUCACUGGCUCGGUACUGACGC
Molecule: ribosomal RNA, 650 nt
Filed under: uncultured bacterium
Lineage: Bacteria
Description: bacterial SSU rRNA
Rfam family: Bacterial small subunit ribosomal RNA
Source: RNAcentral